AGCGAACGCUGGCGGCGUGCUUAACACAUGCAAGUCGAGUGCGCGCCUGUAGCAAUACAGGUGGCGCACGGCGCACGGGUGCGUAACACGUGGGUAAUCUGCCCUUCGAUGGGGAAUAACUCGCCGAAAGGCGAGCUAAUUCCGCAUAACAUUCCGAGAACUUUGGUUUUUGGAUUCAAAGGCGUAAGUCGUCGGAGGAGGAGCCCGCGCACGAUUAGCUAGUUGGUGAGGUAAUGGCUCACCAAGGCUAUGAUCGUUAGCUGGUCUGAGAGGAUGGCCAGCCACACUGGAACUGAGACACGGUCCAGACUCCUACGGGAGGCAGCAGUGGGGAAUCUUGCACAAUGGGCGAAAGCCUGAUGCAGCGACGCCGCGUGGGGGAUGAAGCUUUUCGGAGUGUAAACCCCUUUCGACCCGGACGAAAACCUCGCAAGAGGAUUGACGGUACGGGUAUAAGAAGCCCCGGCUAACUACGUGCCAGCAGCCGCGGUAAGACGUAGGGGGCCAGCGUUGCUCGGAAUUACUGGGUGUAAAGGGUUCGUAGGCGGUGUGGCAAGUCGGGAGUGAAAUCUCUGGGCUCAACCCAGAGUCUGCUUCCGAAACUGCUG
RNAcentral lists this ribosomal RNA (608 nucleotides) under uncultured bacterium. Its description in RNAcentral is "bacterial SSU rRNA". It matches the Rfam family "Bacterial small subunit ribosomal RNA", at positions 28 to 638 of the family's 1533-position model. The record is from RNAcentral.